Molecule: transfer RNA, 58 nt
Filed under: Balearica regulorum gibbericeps (East African grey crowned-crane)
Lineage: Eukaryota; Metazoa; Chordata; Aves; Gruiformes; Gruidae
Description: Balearica pavonina gibbericeps tRNA
Rfam family: tRNA
About the family: Transfer RNA (tRNA) molecules are approximately 80 nucleotides in length. Their secondary structure includes four short double-helical elements and three loops (D, anti-codon, and T loops). Further hydrogen bonds mediate the characteristic L-shaped molecular structure. tRNAs have two regions of fundamental functional importance: the anti-codon, which is responsible for specific mRNA codon recognition, and the 3' end, to which the tRNAs corresponding amino acid is attached (by aminoacyl-tRNA synthetases). tRNAs cope with the degeneracy of the genetic code in two manners: having more than one tRNA (with a specific anti-codon) for a particular amino acid; and 'wobble' base-pairing, i.e. permitting non-standard base-pairing at the 3rd anti-codon position.
Source: Rfam by way of RNAcentral
UAGCUCAGUUGGUAGAGCAUGGGACCCUUAAUCUCAGGAUCGUGAGUUCGAGCCCCAC